RNAcentral lists this transfer RNA (74 nucleotides) under Enterococcus faecium. RNAcentral describes it as "tRNA-Ile". It matches the Rfam family "tRNA". Rfam says of the family: Transfer RNA (tRNA) molecules are approximately 80 nucleotides in length. Lineage: Bacteria; Bacillati; Bacillota; Bacilli; Lactobacillales; Enterococcaceae. The record is from RNAcentral.
GGGCCUAUAGCUCAGCUGGUUAGAGCGCACGCCUGAUAAGCGUGAGGUCGAUGGUUCGAGUCCAUUUAGGCUCA